AACGCAAAUUGCGCUCUUGGGUAGCCCUAGGAGCACGCCUCUCUCAGUAUCGGUUCAACAACCUCUCAGCAGCGUCUGUGGAAUUUAUUCCUUGGUCGUGUCGGCUGGAAAAUGAGAGUCUGAGUGCUUGCAUUUAGUCUCUUUAAAUAUAUUGAGUGAACAUUGAUAACUACAGCUCGAGAAUUCGUUCUCGAUAGCAGUCUCUGACUGUUGCUGCUAGUAACGUGAAUACUGGCCCUCGUGGUCUUUUCUACGUUUAUCUAGUGGUAACAAUUAAGUGAGUGAUUGUGAACGGUAAUUAUUGUGUUCAUGUAUCGUGUGCAAACACAAUCGGCUGUCUGAAAUUAAAUUUUCUUACGGUCUGAAUUUUGAUCUGAGAUGAAGCGAGACAACCCCCUGAAUUUAA
This 406-nucleotide unclassified non-coding RNA is filed under the name uncultured fungus. RNAcentral describes it as "sequence contains ITS2". Lineage: Eukaryota; Fungi. The record is from RNAcentral.